RNAcentral lists this ribosomal RNA (327 nucleotides) under uncultured Sphingobacteriales bacterium. RNAcentral describes it as "bacterial SSU rRNA". It matches the Rfam family "Bacterial small subunit ribosomal RNA", at positions 1055 to 1382 of the family's 1533-position model. The record is from RNAcentral. Lineage: Bacteria; Pseudomonadati; Bacteroidota; Sphingobacteriia; Sphingobacteriales.
UCAGCUCGUGCCGUGAGGUGUCGGGUUAAGUCCCAUAACGAGCGCAACCCCUACCUUUAGUUGCCAUCAGGUUAAGCUGGGGACUCUAAAGGAACUGCCUACGCAAGUAGUGAGGAAGCGGGGAUGACGUCAAAUCAGCACGGCCCUUACGUCCAGGGCUACACACGUGCUACAAUGGCCGAUACAGAGGGCAGCUACCUGGUGACAGGAUGCAAAUCUCCAAAGUCGGUCUCAGUUCGGAUCGGAGUCUGCAACCCGACUCCGUGAAGUUGGAUUCGCUAGUAAUCGCGCAUCAGCCAUGGCGCGGUGAAUACGUUCCCGGGCCUU